This 600-nucleotide ribosomal RNA is filed under the name uncultured bacterium. RNAcentral's name for it is "bacterial SSU rRNA". It matches the Rfam family "Bacterial small subunit ribosomal RNA", at positions 33 to 633 of the family's 1533-position model. The record is from RNAcentral.
ACGCUGGCGGCAGGCUUACACAUGCAGUCGAGCGGAGAUGAGGUGCUUGCACCUUAUCUUAGCGGCGGACGGGUGAGUAAUGCUUAGGAAUCUGCCAUUUAGUGGGGGACAACAUUCCGAAAGGAAUGCUAAUACCGCAUACGUCCUACGGGAGAAGGCAGGGGAUCUUCGGACCUUGCGCUAAAUGAUGAGCCUAAGUCGGAUUAGCUAGUUGGUGGGUAAAGGCCUACCAAGGCGACGAUCUGUAGCGGGUCUGAGAGGAUGAUCCGCCACACUGGGACUGAGACACGGCCCAGACUCCUACGGGAGGCAGCAGUGGGGAAUAUUGGACAAUGGGCGGAAGCCUGAUCCAGCCAUGCCGCGUGUGUGAAGAAGGCCUUUUGGUUGUAAAGCACUUUAAGCGAGGAGGAGGCUACUAGUACUAAUACUACUGGAUAGUGGACGUUACUCGCAGAAUAAGCACCGGCUAACUCUGUGCCAGCAGCCGCGGUAAUACAGAGGGUGCGAGCGUUAAUCGGAUUUACUGGGCGUAAAGCGUGCGUAGGCGGCUUUGCAAGUCAGGGGUGAAAUCGCGCUUAACUCGGUAAUUGCAUUCGAGAC